Molecule: long non-coding RNA, 3937 nt
Filed under: Brassica napus (rape)
Lineage: Eukaryota; Viridiplantae; Streptophyta; Magnoliopsida; Brassicales; Brassicaceae
Description: long non-coding RNA (BNAP_LNC025555)
Source: RNAcentral
CCAUUUUUUCCACCCCCAUUUUUUUUUGGAUUCAACUGUUCGUCAGAUUGAAUAAAACAACAUUUAAUUUCCUUUCCCUUAUGUUUAAUAUCUAUGCUGAUAUAAUAAGUUUAAUUAAAUGUAUUAUUCAUUCUUAAUUAUGCAUCAAAGUAUAAUGUUUGGGCAAAAAAUAAUAUUUCAGGUUAUUAAUUCCAAGCUUAACAUCAUUUCGAAAUUACUUCUGCUUUCUUGUUGCUCCAUAUGUCCAAUCUUCUGGAAGCUUCUUCCACCUGAAACAAGCAUGAUAUUUUACUAGUCUUGAAGUGUAACAAGAUUCAAACGCAAACGCGGUGGCUUAACGGCCUGACUGGUUCAAACGCAGCGGUUGCGGUUGCAGUUGCGGGAGUUUGCGAAUGCGGGUGGUUGCGGUUUCUAGCGGUUUUAAGAGAUUUGUAUGACUGGUUAUGCGGUUAGAAAUACCCCAAUACGAACAAAAAAAAACUUGCAUGCCCACAAACACCGAACACAAGAUCAAACCCAUUCAAUUACAUCGGCAGGAGAAAUCAACAAUACCCACAAACCAAAGUUUAGAUUUUUCUUUCUUUUACAAUCUCAAACACAAGAAAACAAUCUCACAAACCUUCAAAAACCAAAUACGAGGAAAGGAAAAUGAACAAAAGAAAAACUCACUUGAGUUCGUUCCCGAGCAAUCCGAGGAGAGCUCUGAGAUGCUCCAGGAAGAUGUCGGAGUUGCGGACAAGAUCCUCGUACUUGACCCUGGCAGAGGAGUCGCCAGUGUUGGUGUGGUUGUCUGGAACCACCUGAACUAGUUGCGAGGAGGGUGAAACUGUCGACAUCUUUUCUUUUUUUGCUGUCUUAGGUGAAUGGUAAAGAGUUUGUGAGGCCGUAUAAUCUUUUAAAUACUGAUUUUGUUAUUUUACAAUUAGUCACUUUCUUAACAGUUAAGAAGAAAACAUAGAGUCUGAAUGGCAAGAUGCGGAAAUAACAGCGGUGCGUUUUUUAAUAGUAACAAAAACAUAUAAAUACAUAAAUAUAUAAAAAAUUUUUUGCAACUAUCAAUUAUAGCGAGGUUUGGAAACAUUCAAAGCCUUAAUAAUAUUAAAAAAAAUAAGUAUAAUUAAUUAAUUAGAUAAGUAAUGAUGAUGUUUUAAGAAUUGUUUUAGUCUUAACAAGACCAAGUCAUAGUCUUACACAGAAACAAGAAUUAAGAUUAUUUUCUUUUUUUGUUAAAUACAUAUCUAUAUACAUUGACUAGAUUAAUGAGAUAACGUUGACCAAGAGAAAAAAUAAUUAGAAAAUUAAUAUUCGCAAAAGCCUAUUGCUGGGUUAGUGGGCUUAUCUAAUCACGCGGCCCACUAAAAUAAUAUAAUUAUUUAAAAAACAUGUUUUGAGAAAAUAUUUAUUAUCUAUGUUAUUUGAAAAGAAACUAGAGGUAAAAACUCAUAAUUUAUAAAUGAAAGGAUGAGAGCAUAUAUAUUGAUAUGAAGAUUUAAUAAUUCUUUAUAUGAAAAACCAAUAUUAUGAGUGAAAUGAAGUUUUCAUCAAAUUGAAAAAGAGACACAUAUUCCUUUUAUAAUAAUAAUUACUUCAUGAAUUCAAAAACUACACACAAUUAAGUAAUUUUUAAAUUAUAUAUGUACUUUAAAUCAUCAUAUUUCAUUCAUUUAUAAAUUAUUAUUCAUCUGUGUAUCGUAUUUUAAAAUAAAUACCAAAAGUUAGAUUGAAAACAUCUAACUGGCAAUAUUAAAGUUAUUAUAUUAGACAUUUUUACCGUGUAUUUGUAUAUAAAAUUUUAAUCCAACAAUCAUAAAAUUACUUAAUUAUACAUACAUGUUAUUUAGAAUAUAUAAUAAGACAACUUGAUAAUAAUUUAAAUUGUUUUCCUUAAAACAGUUUAUGUCCACGCCAGUUCAACUAGUUAUUACAACAAUAAUUGUUUUUUCUUAACUCAAUAAAAUUGAAACCAGUAUAAACCCUUAGAACUAUAUUUAAAUUAUUUCUUAUAAAAAAAACACUCGACCUACUAUUUCAAAUCUAUCUCCUCAACCAUUCAAAUAUUAGUGAUAUGUAAAAUAGGUAAAGAUUUUAUUAUAUGCAUAAUAUUUUCUUUAUUAGUUAACUCACACAAAAGAACUCAAAGGUUUCAUUUAGAAGAAAAAAAGAAAUCAAGUUUUCUCAACAAAAAAAAAAUCAAGGGCUUUCAUAUCUUGCGUUAGAAAAAAAGAAGAGUAUACAUCUUUAUAUAUAUAUAUAUAUUUUUUUUUUGAAAAAUACAUCUUUAUAUAUUUGAUGUUAGAUUGUUAGUAAUUUGCUUUGUUUAGCUAAUAUAAAAUACUAGGUUAAGAUCCGUGCCUUGCGCGGGAUGAACAUUAUAUAUAAAAAUUAUUUUAUAUAUUAUAUGUUUAUAGCAUAUUAUGAAAUAAAAAAUAUAUAUUGAAUAAUUAAAAAGUCAUUAUCUACUAUUUAUAAAAUUAAAUUGGUGCGAACAUAUAAAUAAAUUUAAUAAAUUGAAAAAAAUAUUUUUUCUAUUUGAAAUGAUAUAUAAUUAAAUUUAAAUGAUAAUAACAUAUAUAUGGUAUAUGUUAAUAUUAAUAUUUAUUAGAUGAUGCUUUUUGCUCAUUUUUUUUAUUUGUAUCUGUUAUAGCAAAAAAUUUAAAUUAGUGAUAACAAAAUUUUCACUGUGGGAAUAAUGGUUUAAAUAAUUUAUAAUAUUUUGAAAAUUAAGUUGUCAAUAUUUUUUCAAUUUUUUUAUCAAAAAAAUGUUCAAAGUAAAUUUCAAAAUUAUGAUAUUUAUGUAUUUUUAUAUGAUAUAUAGUUUAAUUUAAAAUGAUAAUAUAUAUAUAUAUAUAUAUAUCAUUUAAAUAUUAAUAAUAAUUAAAUGAGACCUUCUACUCAUAUGAUUUUGUAAUCAUUUGUAUUUUGUCAUAACCAAAAUUUUAAACUAUGGAUCACAAAAUUUGAAUGUGAGACUUUUAACAGUUUUAGUAAUUUAUAGUUGUUUUUAAAAAAUUCAAAAUAUAAUAUAUACCAAAAAAUCAAAAUUUUUAUUAUAUGGUUAAUGUGGUUGUUUAAUUUAUUUUAAUAGUUUAAAAUUAAAAAAAAUAUGAUAAAAGACACUAAUUUUUUUUCAAUCUUUAUUAUUAAAAAUCAUUAAUUGUCAUAUAUUUGUUAGCCGUAUUAGAUAAUUUUGUAAUGUUUAUUUAAGAAAAUAAUAAAUAACAUUAAUAAUGAAUUUAUGGUUAGUUUAAUAAAAAGAUUAUAAUAUAUAUAGAUAAAUUAACAUAUUUCUCUAAAGAUUCUAAGAAUCAUUCUAUUGAUGACACGUGGCUACAAAAAAAAUGUUGUAAUGCUUCUCGAUUAAUAUAUAAGAGAUUCAGAGUUCAUUAUGAUUAGCAUAUUUGAGUGUGCGUAAAAUGUAAGAAUCCAUAUAUAUUUUUGGAGACGAUAAACUGGUAACACUUAAUUUUAUAUAAUUAAAAUUAAAGAAAGGAAGUUGGGACAAAGAGCAGACCUUAUCGCUGCAUUGAAUCCAACAGAUAUCAUAAACACCCAUCCUGAAAUCGUCAUGCUGAGACAAUAAAAUAAAUGAAUAUAUCAUAUGGUAAGUCGAGCUAAUAUAAAGUGUAUAUCCAUAUAAAGCUAUAAGCUUUUGUUAAUACAACAUUAUAAAAUUUCUGUUAAAGGAAAAAAAAAAUAUUAUAAAAUUUCAGAUUUUCAGUUUUAGGAAAUGGAGAUUUUAUAUUUUAAAGAUGCAAAUUCUAUCAUUAUUUGGUACAAGUCCCGAAAUUGAAUGUUGUAAAAUUUCUGUUAAAGCAAAAACAAAAAAAAUUAUAAAAUUUCAGAUUUUCAGUUUUAGGAAAUGGAGAUUUUAUAUUUUAAAGAUGCAAAUUCUAUCAUUAUUUGGUACAAGUCCCGAAAUUGAAUGGCUUCUUUUGUU